Molecule: long non-coding RNA, 1453 nt
Organism: Xenopus laevis (African clawed frog)
Lineage: Eukaryota; Metazoa; Chordata; Amphibia; Anura; Pipidae
Exons: 4
Source: RefSeq, a predicted model, not a curated record
GUGAGAUUUGGGCACGCUUCCUGGCUUUCGAAAGUAAUAUUGGAGAUUUAGCAAGUAUACUGAAAGUGGAGAAAAGGAGAUACACGGCAUUCAAGGAGGAAUACGAAGGGAAGGAGACAGCGCUGCAUGUGGAUAGAUACAAGUUUAUGGAUUUGUACCCCUGCUCCACAAGUGAACUGAAAGCUUUUUGGAUACAAGGAUGUAUCAAGAGCCAAACUGGCAGCACUUCUCCCCGACCCUGUGGUAGCUCCAUCAAUAGCCCCUUCUCUGAAUGAUGAUGCUGGCCGAAAACCAGAGUACCCCAAACCCGAUACAAGUCAGAUGAUCCUUUUCCAGCCCCGAUAUUUAGCUCCACCUGGACUCCAUCCUGUUCCUGGUGGUGUAUUCCCAGUCCCCCCCAGCUGCAGUGGUCUUAAUGAAGCUGCUUCCUCCCCCCAUUUGCUUCCAGCAGUGGAAGAGGCAGUGAGGAUCAUUACUGGAAACCAGGCAGAGAUUCGCAAAACACCACCGGCAUCUCCAACGAGGACUCUGACGAUGAAGAAGAGAAGGGCUCUGUGGUCCCUCCCGUCCAUGACAUAUACAGAACCCGGCAGCAGAAGAGAAUCCUGUAUAGAUUCUUUCUUAGAAAUUUCAGAAAAUACAAAUUCCAAAUGAGAAACUUUUUACUGAACAUUUACACCAUCAAACCUUGUGCUAUAAGAACCUUCUAUCGUUCCCAGCGUUUUGCAGACUAAUCUGCGUAAUCUACGGUACAACUCCGGAAAUCAACUUCCUUUUUCUUCAUCUGUAUUUUUAUGUGCAGCUGGAAACUGAACAGCUUUGGAAUUGUAAUAGUUUGGUUUUUUUAACUUAUUUCUUCAGUUACAAUUGUUGGCCAGUUUGCCUGGCCUUUUUCCUGCCUCUUUUAUUUUAUUGUCAGAAGAAGAAGGCAAAUAAAAAAAAAAACUAUAUAAAAUAAAUAAUGGAGACUUAUUGAAAAAGUUUACAAAAACCAGGCAACCCUAAAAGUGACCUAAUAUUUACAAUAGAGGCAAAAGUAAAAACGUACUAUUCUAAGUAUAGUACAGUAUCCCUUUAACGAUAGACUCAGGCCCUCUAUUAUCAGCCUUUUAGGCUCAGACAGGCCUGCUACUGAAUCACUUUCCAGCAGAAAGUCUGACGUGUAAAUGGGAGGAGCGUCUUAUCCAUGUUUAAAACUUUAUUAGGAAAAUGUAAAACUCUCUUUGCUAAUGUCCUUUAUUUUAGUAUUAAUGUUUGUUUUAAAAGCUCUACAAAGUUCCAUGUUUCUAAUCAUCUAAUGUCUAGUUCAGCUAAAUAUGUCACUAUCUAAUUAUCUAAUAUAACUGUCUAAUGAAAAACAGAAACAAUGUUCAUUUCUGUUCAUUUUAUUGGAAAAAUAAAAAAAACAAAUGGCACACUUUAGUUUAGGAUUUAGUUUUGUCUUGUUAGUAGU